CAACAGUAGCUGACAAUGUUAGGUAAAUGGUAUAACUUUGUGCCCUAUGGGCAACCAGGCGAAAGUUGCCAGUUAUCUCCUGUCCUGGCAUGACAUAAAGUGGCUGUGACAAUACACACCGAAGCUGAUACCAGUGAGUUGUAGGUGCACCAGGAGCAGUGGUAAGCCACCUCGGUACAGUGCUUCCAUUGAAUAGUACAUCAAACCAGCAAGCCAGCCCAUGAAUUCUAGUGCUAACAGAACAUGCAAAUUUCAAUGGGAUCUCAAUUUCAUAUAGAUCUUCUUCCUUUAUUAAAGUGAAGUUAAUCGCAUGAGAUAUUGCAGGAGCUACCAAUAACCUUGGAUCAAAAGCAUCAACCACUGGCUGAGAAAAGUAUCCUUCAUAUGCAGAUCUUUGCAAGGGUGUUAAAUCAACCCCAAAAUAGCUCUGUUGCUGCCAAAAAAUAGCCUUAUUUGCAAUUUCCAGAUACAAAUAUUCAUCACUGAAUGGUGCCACGUGUAUUCUUCCCACUGCAGGAAACAUUUUUCCAUUUGGAACUAGAAACCGAUCUCUUGCAAUCACAUAAGACUCCAGCAUUCUUUCAUUAACUAACAAAGUACCCAUUGGCUCAGAGAUUAAGAUAUCGGCUUUCACAGGUAACUCUACUUCUUCAACCUUUCCUUUGAUUACUGUAAUUCUCUCAUUCAAUGAUGGAUUUCCUGCAAUAAGCUUUUUAGCAUGUUCGGCCAUUUCAGAUGCCUCUAUGGCAUAAACAUGUUUUGCACCAGCCUGAGCUGCAAAUAAUGACAAAAUACCACUUCCAGCUCCAACAUCAACCACUACACGACCUAGAAAAUCAGCACGGUUCUCAAUUACAGCAGCAUAAUAGGUUCCUG
RNAcentral lists this unclassified non-coding RNA (876 nucleotides) under Hevea brasiliensis (rubber tree). Lineage: Eukaryota; Viridiplantae; Streptophyta; Magnoliopsida; Malpighiales; Euphorbiaceae. The record is from RNAcentral.